Non-coding RNA from Pelobates cultripes (western spadefoot toad), 237 nucleotides. The record is from the annotation of a GenBank genome assembly. NCBI's taxonomy places the organism in Eukaryota, Metazoa, Chordata, Amphibia, Anura, Pelobatidae.
CCCCAAUCCCCUUUCAUGUGUCUCUCAGCCCCAGCCCCUUUGUCUCUUUCCCAGGCCCCAGCACCUCUAUGUGUAUCUUUCCCCACAGCUCCUCUUUGUGUCUUUUGUUCGUCUUCCUCAGCUCCUCUGUGUGCAUCUCCUGUUCCCGUUUCCCAAUCCGUCUGUCUCUUUCCCACACACCUCCGUGUGUCUUUUUUACUCCCCAGCCCCUCCAUGUGUCUCAUUACCUCACAGCCC